This 420-nucleotide ribosomal RNA is filed under the name uncultured bacterium. Its description in RNAcentral is "bacterial SSU rRNA". It matches the Rfam family "Bacterial small subunit ribosomal RNA", at positions 357 to 774 of the family's 1533-position model. The record is from RNAcentral.
AGGAAUAUUGGGCAAUGCCCGCAAGGGUGACCCAGCAACGCCGCGUGGAGGAUGAAUGUCGUAAGAUUGUAAACUCCUGUUAGAGGGGAAGAAUAGUACCGGUUGGACCGGUAUAUGACUGUACCCUCAGAGAAAGCCCCGGCUAACUACGUGCCAGCAGCCGCGGUAAUACGUAGGGGGCAAGCGUUGUCCGGAUUUAUUGGGUGUAAAGGGCGCGCAGGCGGGAUAAAAAGUCAGUGGUGAAAUCCUACAGCUUAACUGUAGAACUGCCUUUGAUACUUUUAUUCUUGAGUUCGGGAGAGAGAGACGGAAUUCCAGGUGUAGUGGUGAAAUACGUAGAUAUCUGGAAGAACACCAGUUGCGAAGGCGGUCUCUUGGUCCGACACUGACGCUGAGGCGCGAAAGCGUGGGGAGCAAACA